This is a non-coding RNA of Hippocampus comes (tiger tail seahorse), 375 nucleotides long. The record is from the annotation of a RefSeq genome assembly. NCBI's taxonomy places the organism in Eukaryota, Metazoa, Chordata, Actinopteri, Syngnathiformes, Syngnathidae.
AGCGGCCAAACGGUGCACCAGCCGGAAUGGGAUGUCCACGCCGUGGAGGGUGCAGCAGUGACGCUCAGCUGCAGCUACGACAGUUCGACGUCGGGCGACUAUAUCUUCUGGUACAAACAAGAAGCCAACGCAGCACCCGAGUUCAUCCUGAGCCGAUUUAAGCUCGAUCAAGGCAAGACUGCAGAAAAGUACUCUGACAGGUAUCGCUGCAGCAUGGACGCCAGCGCUCGGCAAGCUCCUCUGCGUAUCGAGCGCGUGAAGCCCAGCGACUCGGGAGUCUUCCACUGCGCCUUGCAGCCCACACUGACACAUCCACUGGCGUGCCUGCACAAAAACUCUUGCAACCGCCUCAUCGCGUAACACAGGGGCCCCCAA